Molecule: ribosomal RNA, 398 nt
Filed under: uncultured eukaryote
Lineage: Eukaryota
Description: SSU rRNA
Rfam family: Eukaryotic small subunit ribosomal RNA
Source: RNAcentral
CAAUAGCGUAUAUUAAAGUUGUUGCAGUUAGAACGCUCGUAGUCGGAUUUCGGGGCGGGCCGACCGGUCUGCCGAUGGGUACGCACUGGUCGGCGCGUCCUUCCUUCCGGAGACCGUGCCUACUCUUAACUGAGCGGGGGCGGGAGACGGAUCGUUUACUUUGAAAAAUACAGAGUGUUUCAAGCAGGCAGCUCGCUCUUGCAUGGAUUAGCAUGGGAUAAUGAAAUAGGACUUUGGUGCUAUUUUGUUGGUUUCGAACACCGAAGUAAUGAUUAAAAGGGAACGAGUCAGGGGCGACUCGUAUUCCGCAGAGAGAGGUGAAAUUCUCAGACCCGCGGAAGACGGACUACUGCGAAAGCAUUUGCCAAGGAUGUUUUCAUUGAUCAAGAACGAAAGUU